Molecule: ribosomal RNA, 253 nt
Filed under: uncultured bacterium
Lineage: Bacteria
Description: partial 16S ribosomal RNA
Rfam family: Bacterial small subunit ribosomal RNA
Source: RNAcentral
UGCGAAGGGGGCUAGCGUUGUUCGGAUUUACUGGGCGUAAAGCGCACGUAGGCGGAUCGUUAAGUCGGGGGUGAAAUCCUGGAGCUCAACUCCAGAACUGCCUUCGAUACUGGCGAUCUUGAGUCCGGAAGAGGUGAGUGGAACUCCUAGUGUAGAGGUGGAAUUCGUAGAUAUUAGGAAGAACACCAGUGGCGAAGGCGGCUCACUGGUCCGGUACUGACGCUGAGGCGCGAAAGCGUGGGGAGCAAACAGG